ACCAUUUUAAGGUCUGGACAUCUACUCUAUUCUGUAAGACCCCGAAAGAAACGAUCAGAUACGCUAGAUACCGGCUAAUAUAGAUGGACAUAUAUACGCUAUCACCUGUAAAGGAGCGCGACUACGACGACGACGACGACGUCAGUAGUAAUUUGCAAUCGAAAUUAAACAAAAGUCACGAGAAGGUCUUAAAAAAAAUGAAGUAUCUACAUCGAACUUAGUCACAAAAACUAAUAUACAACUUCCAGUAUAGGUAUACCUAUCUUAGCUGUGUAUACUGCAUAUCGCGUAGGUAUGUCGUUCAAAAGUAGGUAUGUAUAUACGUUCUACGUACGAGUACGACAUUACGACAAUAAAAAUAGGGCCUCGGAUGGCAUUUAUUUUGCAUUUUGCGUACCUAAUAAACGUCAUCUGUUUCUCUAAUAACGAAUACCUAUAAAUUUGCUUUUUUGCCGGGGUGUUGCCGCGUGCUAGUGACGUAAAAUUCCAAAGUUACGCCUUUGCCCUCGGUUUCCAAGACGACCGCGAAACUUUGACGCCCAUUUUAGCUCGGUUGUGUUUUAAAGCUGUGAUUUGUCGUUGCUUUCGGUGCUCGUAAUGUGAAAAAAUUUUCCCAAUUAUCAGUUACUUCUGAAACAGUAGCCACGAAUGACGGAUGACUUUGGAUGCCACCCGAAAAUUUAAUCAAGCGAACGUUGAAAUUUUCUCAUAAAUUACUGAAAUGCGGUUCGAAACGUAAAAUGAAGAACAUGCUGAAAAAAAUAUUCUGUUAUUGGAAACAAUUGAAGUAAAAUAUUCUCAAAUAUGGCGAUUACAGUUUUCCUGCAUUCGUAUUCGUUCCACAAAAAGAAGAUAAAGAAGUACGUUUGAUGAAAUCGUACUUUGCUGCGAUUUUAUUGCGAGUUAAUUAUUAAGUCGUUUCGUUUACUCAAAUAUGGAUCUAUUUUUGAUGCAAAGAUGAAGAAAAAAACAGAGAAAAUUACUCAUUUGAUGGAAUUAAAGCAGGUAAAUCCUGCUCUAUCGUGUGAAGAAACCCGAAAAUUGUCUGUUGUAUCGAUGGCAUUCUGAAAAAAAUGAAGUGCUGCGCAUCGAGUUGUUUUUUUUUUUAUAUUUUUCAUUUUAUUAAAUUGUACGAAAUGUUGAAAAUUCGUCAUGAUCUCCCAACUUGUGCGACCUUUGUUUGUUUUUUCAUUAUGUUAUUGGAUUUCUUAAAAAAUAAUGAAAAUGUUUAUCAUAAAUUUGUGGUUAUUUGUAGGUACUUAUACUCGUAUUUGUCUCUCUCUCGGGUCGAUGCAAUUAGUUGAUUUAUAAAAUUCACGUUUGUAUAUGUUAUUUAGACAUAUCAUUAAAAUAGAUCGAUAUUAUAAUAAUGUAAUUUGGUAAUUUAGUACUUAUAUAAGGUUAAUAAUGAGCAACAAAGUCACUGUCUUCCAAUUAUUGCCUUAAAUUUUAAGUCUCGAUUGAAUUUAUUCGAAUGCGUAUGAUGUACAAUUUUUUUACCUAUUUAUUUAGGAAUAAUUUAUUUUAUAGGGUUAUAUUUUUAUGAUUUAAAGUUUAAUUAAUUUAUCGAUUUGAAAAAAAAAGGAAUACGUGUAUCAAAAAGCAAUACAGUCGUUGUACAUGUGUAAUGAAUUACGUUAUCAUAUCAGUCAUAUUUUAAUAAUACUUUAUUGUUUAUCUAUUGAUAAUUUUUAGGUGCUAUUUUACGAACAAAACUCUCCUCUUCCUUAACAGUCGAAUGACCUCUCUCGGUUAAUUAUUUUAUUUUGAUUAUAAGUCGAUCUUAAGAGUUAUUGUUUAAGAUUAUUUAUAUGGUCAAAAGUGUGAUAUGGUGGUCAAGAGUGUAUGUUUGUGAGUUAUUAUUUUUACUUUUAGUUUUAUUAUACGUAACACUUACCUGAAUAUUUUUAUCGAAUUACUUUUUAUCAGUCUGCAUGAUGAGGUUAUCGAAUGACAAAAAUUUACACACCGGAAGAUACAUUAUUAUAAGCAUACAUGGAAGGAAAAAAAAAAGAAAAAGAGGAAACGUAAUGAUUUUUCUUUAUUUAUUCACUCUUAUACCUAUAUCUGACAAUAUUUGGGAACAAUCUGCAUUUACCUACCUAUUUAAAAAUAUUCGAACGGAGAUGAUACCUAAUUAUUACUAAUUUUUGUAAUGAUUCUGUACGAUUAGAAUUCAUACCUAAUUACCUAAUUUUAUCCUAUAAAUUUUUACGUACAUACGUCGUUUUUUGUUGUGACAUCCGACAAUAACGUUCUUAGAUUAUGGAAAAUAGAAAUACGAUACAGUAUUGUCACGUUUUUUAAUUUUAACUUGGCAAUUUUUAACUUAUAUAAAUAGCCUAUCUACUCGUUGCGGCGACGAUACGAAAUAUUAACGAACGGAAAUUACUAUUUUAUUGCUUUUCCUGUUUAAUGUGAAAUUUAUAAAGGAUUUGUCUGUUUCAAGUUGAGCGAAAAAAAAAAAGGUACUUACUCUUAUAAAUAAUUUAUAAGGGUAUGUUAUACAUUGUUAUAUGUUUACUAAGCGCAAUUGUAACGUUAUUGGGUUAAUUUUAACAACUAUAAGUGUUUUUAUUGCAUAAGCUUUAUAAGGGUUGGUGUUGUUUAUUAUUAUUAUGUUGGGUGUUUUAUUUAUUUUUUUGUACUAUUUUGAUUAUUUUUAUUAAUGGUUUGUUUAGAUGAUGAAGGUGUUCGUGAUGAUUUUUUUUUUUUUUUUGAAUAUGGUUUAAUAUGGAAUAUUGAAAGAAUUUGGAUGAUGUUGGGUGUAUUUUUAUGGAUUACCUGUUUAUUUGAGUUAAGUUGUUGUAUUUUUAUUUUUUGAUGUGCGGUAAGGUGUUUGUAAUAAAGAUUGUUUUUCGUUGGGUUA
Planococcus citri (citrus mealybug) is the source of this 2869-nucleotide long non-coding RNA. RefSeq lists it as uncharacterized. The record is from RefSeq and is a predicted model, not a curated record. The transcript has 2 exons. NCBI's taxonomy places the organism in Eukaryota, Metazoa, Arthropoda, Insecta, Hemiptera, Pseudococcidae.